AAGUCGUAACAAGGUCUCCGUUGGUGAACCAGCGGAGGGAUCAUUACAGAGUUGCAAAACUCCCUAAACCAUUGUGAACGUUACCUAAACCGUUGCUUCGGCGGGCGGCCCGGGUCCUUCCCGGCGCCCCUCGGCCCUCGCGGGCGCCCGCCGGAGGUAAACCAAACUAUUGCAUUGUAUGGCCUCUCCGAGUCUUCUGUACUGAAUAAGUCAAAACUUUCAACAACGGAUCUCUUGGUUCUG
This 243-nucleotide unclassified non-coding RNA is filed under the name fungal sp. Its description in RNAcentral is "partial internal transcribed spacer region". The stretch from base 1 to 46 matches the Rfam family "Eukaryotic small subunit ribosomal RNA", at positions 1786 to 1831 of the family's 1831-position model. The record is from RNAcentral. Lineage: Eukaryota; Fungi.